Molecule: ribosomal RNA, 1014 nt
Filed under: uncultured Chromatiaceae bacterium
Lineage: Bacteria; Pseudomonadati; Pseudomonadota; Gammaproteobacteria; Chromatiales; Chromatiaceae
Description: bacterial SSU rRNA
Rfam family: Bacterial small subunit ribosomal RNA
Source: RNAcentral
ACACAUGCAAGUCGAGCGGGGUUUUCGGACCUAGCGGCGGACGGGUGAGUAAUGCGUAGGAAGCUACCCGAUAGAGGGGGAUACCAGUUGGAAACGACUGUUAAUACCGCAUAAUGUCUACGGACCAAAGUGUGGGACCUUCGGGCCACAUGCUAUCGGAUGCGCCUACGUGGGAUUAGCUAGUUGGUGAGGUAAUGGCUCACCAAGGCGACGAUCUCUAGCUGGUUUGAGAGGAUGAUCAGCCACACUGGAACUGAGACACGGUCCAGACUCCUACGGGAGGCAGCAGUGGGGAAUAUUGGACAAUGGGCGCAAGCCUGAUCCAGCCAUGCCGCGUGUGUGAAGAAGGCCUUCGGGUUGUAAAGCACUUUCAGCGAGGAGGAAGGGGUGAGUGUUAAUAGUACUCACCUUUGACGUUACUCGCAGAAGAAGCACCGGCUAACUCUGUGCCAGCAGCCGCGGUAAUACAGAGGGUGCAAGCGUUAAUCGGAAUUACUGGGCGUAAAGCGCACGCAGGCGGUUGGUUAAGUCAGAUGUGAAAGCCCCGGGCUCAACCUGGGAAUUGCAUUUGAAACUGGCCAACUAGAGUAUGUGAGAGGGGGGUAGAAUUCCAAGUGUAGCGGUGAAAUGCGUAGAGAUUUGGAGGAAUACCAGUGGCGAAGGCGGCCCCCUGGCACAAUACUGACGCUCAGGUGCGAAAGCGUGGGGAGCAAACAGGAUUAGAUACCCUGGUAGUCCACGCCGUAAACGAUGUCUACUAGCUGUUCGUGGUCUUGUACUGUGAGUAGCGCAGCUAACGCACUAAGUAGACCGCCUGGGGAGUACGGUCGCAAGAUUAAAACUCAAAUGAAUUGACGGGGGCCCGCACAAGCGGUGGAGCAUGUGGUUUAAUUCGACGUCACGCGAAGAACCUUACCUACUCUUGACAUCUAGCGAAGAUUGUAGAGAUACGAUUGUGCCUUCGGGACGCUAAGACAGGUGCUGCAUGGCUGUCGUCAGCUCGUGUUGUGAAAU